Molecule: ribosomal RNA, 509 nt
Filed under: uncultured bacterium
Lineage: Bacteria
Description: bacterial SSU rRNA
Rfam family: Bacterial small subunit ribosomal RNA
Source: RNAcentral
GAGUUUGAUCCUGGCUCAGAUUGAACGCUGGCGGCAGGCCUAACACAUGCAAGUCGAGCGGUAGAGAGAAGCUUGCUUCUCUUGAGAGCGGCGGACGGGUGAGUAAUGCCUAGGAAUCUGCCUGGUAGUGGGGGAUAACGCUCGGAAACGGACGCUAAUACCGCAUACGUCCUACGGGAGAAAGCAGGGGACCUUCGGGCCUUGCGCUAUCAGAUGAGCCUAGGUCGGAUUAGCUAGUUGGUGAGGUAAUGGCUCACCAAGGCGACGAUCCGUAACUGGUCUGAGAGGAUGAUCAGUCACACUGGAACUGAGACACGGUCCAGACUCCUACGGGAGGCAGCAGUGGGGAAUAUUGGACAAUGGGCGAAAGGCCUGAUCCAGCCAUGCCGCGUGUGUGAAGAAGGUCUUCGGAUUGUAAAGCACUUUAAGUUGGGAGGAAGGGCAGUAAAUUAAUACUUUGCUGUUUUGACGUUACGACAGAAUAAGCACCGGCUAACUCUGUGCCAGCA